Molecule: ribosomal RNA, 768 nt
Filed under: alpha proteobacterium SCGC AAA003-D04
Lineage: Bacteria; Pseudomonadati; Pseudomonadota; Alphaproteobacteria
Description: SSU rRNA
Rfam family: Bacterial small subunit ribosomal RNA
Source: RNAcentral
UGCAGUCGAACGAAGUAGCAAUACUUAGUGGCAGACGGGUGAGUAACAUGUGGGUAUCUUCCCUUUGGCCUGGAAUAACACGAGGAAACUUGUGCUAAUACCGGAUAAGUCUUUACGGAGAAAGCUUUAUGCACCAUUGGAUGAGCCUGCACUUGAUUAGUUUGUUGGUGGGGUAAUGGCCUACCAAGACAAUGAUCAAUAGCUGAUUUGAGAGGAUGAUCAGCCACAUUGGGACUGAGACACGGCCCAAACUCCUACGGGAGGCAGCAGUAGGGAAUCUUGCACAAUGGGGGAAACCCUGAUGCAGCGAUGCCGCGUGAGUGAAGAAGGCCUUUGGGUUGUAAAGCUCUUUCGUCGGGGAAGAAAAUGACUGUACCCGAAUAAGAAGGUCCGGCUAACUUCGUGCCAGCAGCCGCGGUAAUACGAAGGGACCUAGCGUAGUUCGGAAUUACUGGGCUUAAAGAGUUCGUAGGUGGUUAAAAAAGUUGGUGGUGAAAUCCCAGAGCUUAACUCUGGAACUGCCAUCAAAACUUUUUAGCUAGAGUUUGAUAGAGGAAAGCAGAAUUUCUAGUGUAGAGGUGAAAUUCGUAGAUAUUAGAAAGAAUACCGAUUGCGAAGGCAGCUUUCUGGAUCAUUACUGACACUGAGGAACGAAAGCAUGGGUAGCGAAGAGGAUUAGAUACCCUCGUAGUCCAUGCCGUAAACGAUGUGUGUUAGACGUUGGAAAUUUAUUUUCAGUGUCACAGCGAAAGCAAUAAACACACCGCC